RNAcentral lists this long non-coding RNA (612 nucleotides) under Danio rerio (zebrafish). RNAcentral describes it as "lncRNA si:ch211-39n21.1 (ENSDARG00000093470.2)". The record is from RNAcentral. Lineage: Eukaryota; Metazoa; Chordata; Actinopteri; Cypriniformes; Danionidae.
AUGCAGGCACUGGCCUUUUGUGAAGAUGUGGACUUGAGAUCUCUGGAUCAAAGCUGCAGGAGAAGCAAUUUGAUUCUGGCAUGGAGUUCUUCUACAGCUGACUUAUUCACCUGACUCAUUUCUGAACAUCUGUUGAUCUUCAAUCCUUCUAAUAAUGCCGCUGUCAACACUUAACAUUUUGCAAGUCUUUUAAAGCCUUGUAGUCUUCUAACGAGGUGGUUAUGGCCCUUUAAGUUUUUUUUUUGGCAAAAUGUUUAGUGUUUGAGGCAUCAUUGAGUGGUUAAAGUUUGUUUUGGAUGCAUAAAAUGUGCCCAGUCUGUAUAAUAGUGCAAAAUAAAAUUAAAUGUGUUUGUGUGGUUUAUGAUUUUCAACUGAAUUAUAAUUUAAAAAAAGUGCUUCUAGCAAUUAUCUAAAACUUGAGGUCUGCAGCUCUGCACAAUUAGCUCAAUCCACCUCCAACUAACCUGCUUUUAAUCUGCAGCUGUUUCUAACUCCUUGAUUAGUUGAAGCAGCUGUGUUUGAUUAGGGUGGAAGCAAAACUGCAGAGCUGCAUCUCCAGCAAGAGAGUUGGCACUUACCUACAGAUUUUUCAUGUUUUGAGAAUUUAUUUUA